RNAcentral lists this long non-coding RNA (2541 nucleotides) under Heterocephalus glaber (naked mole-rat). Its description in RNAcentral is "lncRNA (ENSHGLG00000026168.2)". Lineage: Eukaryota; Metazoa; Chordata; Mammalia; Rodentia; Bathyergidae. The record is from RNAcentral.
GCUGUCGGGAUGGCUGUGAGUCUGGGCCUGGAGGACAGGGAGGCUGAGAGGACCUUGGGAGUCGCUGUCUUCGGUGACGAGGCCACCUUGAGCCUGAGUGCAGACGGCGCGGACCGGAGCUGGGCUGCCAGCCCUCCUGCAUCCAGAGGUCGGAGGGAGGAAGGGGCCUCACGCUUGGCCAAGCCCGAUGUCCAUGGUCACCCACAGGGAGAGCCCAGGCACAGCUGCUGUCUCAGAACAGACGCCCGAGCCUGUGUUCGUGACCAGUGUAGCGCCCAGGCGGAGUCACUCAGCAGCCUGCCUGUCCCGUGCUCACGCGCGAUCCCAGGCCACUUACCAAAUGGGAGAUCACCGCAGCAUGCCGAGGCGUCAGAGCUCACCCGGGCCAACAGCCAGGCAGCCGGUGCCUGCGUCCUCCGUGCUGUCCCAGGCAGAGCGGAGCGGCGCUGCCUGUGGCCGAGGGGCGCGUGGCUGUGUCCCCUCCCAUGUCCCACUGCCUGGCGUCUGCCCUCAGAGCUCUGCUGGCUUUCGCCUCCAGGAGUCCUUCCUCCGAGACGGCUCCAAAGGCUGGUCCUGGCGAUUACAGGCCCAGCUCCGCAGUCCCGGGGAGGCAUUGGAGUCCCAGCCUGGCUGGGCCGACCCUCUGAGCCUCAGUUUCCUCCUCUGUUAGGGAAGGAGGAGUUAGAGGAGCUGCUUCAGGGGAGGCCUGAGCAGAAGCAGAGGAAGGUGAGAGCAGGUCGGCCUGGUCUUAACUCAGUCUUUUCCUAACCGCAGCUUCUUGCGCCUGACCUUGGCUCUCAGGAGAGACAGAAGACUGCAGAUGGGAUGAGAUUCCAGUUCAGUUCAGAUCCAUCACCAAAUGGAGGAUGGGCAUGGUGGACCAGGACGCACUGCAGAGCCAAGACGUGCGGCUCGGAGAGCGAGGACCCAUUGGGUGUUUCUGCUCUACUCCGUUCUGCAAAGAAACAGGAAGUGGCCGGUGCUGCACAGAGAGAGGUGCUGGCCAGGAGCCUAGAAUCUUCCCUCUGCUUUGGGAAGAAAUGUGAAGAUGGUCUGCGUUUGGAGCGAGCCCAGGGCGGAGGACGUUUGUCUGACAGCGUGGGCAGUUCAGCUCCUGCCCCAUCCUGCCAAGCAAUGGCCCAGGAACUGGCUGUCGGCAAAGUUUUGCUGCUGGAGGAACUGGCUCAGCAUGUUAAAGAGUUUUCCACACUGUCUGCAUUUGGCUGAAUUCGUUUUCUCUGACCUUGCGUGUUCUGUGAACUUGUGGUGAGAUGGAGACACAGUCCGAUUUCAGUUCGAGCCUUGGGGGAGGUCCUCACGGGCCAUGUGCUCCACCACCCGCGCCUGACGUCUGCUCACUCCCUUGUGUGCGCUGUGCAGCUGCUGGUGACACCUGUGCCCCACUGGGACUUGCAAGUGGCAACAGCAGAUCACACCACUCCUUUAUGUUUGUUUAGCCAACGUGCUCUACACAGAGAAACUCCUCCUUGUCCGCUAUUUGACUGACAUUCAGAUGUACAGGAAAGUGCCUCACUGCUUGCUCCUCUUCCUCUAUUUGCUGGUACUGUGUGGUGGCACAUGUCUGCAAUCCCAGUGCCGCAGGAGGCUGAAGCAGGCAGGAAGACCACAGGCGCAAGCCCACCCUGGGCUCCUAAUGGCUUAGUGAGGCCCUGGCUUAGAAUAACAAAAAGUAAAAGAGGCCUUGGCAUGCAGCUUGGCGCAAAGGCCUUGGGCUCAGCCCCCAGCACUGCACUACAGCAGCGACAACAACACAGCAACAAUGUGUCCUCUAGGCCCAACAAAUGUGAUCAAUGAAGUUUCCACCGAUACGAUUUUAAAUGCAGCAAACUAAAUUCAGGGGUUUUUUUCUGUUUUAAAAAGUUGAUAUAUUUAACAGCUGUGUUAAUAAAUUCAACCUUUACUAUUAUAGAACACUAUAACAACUGCUUAUCUAUAACAACUUCUAAAUAAGUAUUACUUGAAUUUUACUAAAAUAUUGGUAAUCAUAUACAUUGAAGACUAGAAGUGAUGUCAGAAAUAAUUUAGUACGGGCUGGGGAUUUAGCUCAGUGAUUCCAUCACCUGCCUCGCAAGCACAAGGUCCUGAGUUUGAUCCCCAGUACCAGAAAAACAAAAAAGAAAGAAAGAAAUAAUUUAGUACAAAAGCUUAUAGGUAAAAGACAUCAAGCCCCAAAGAAGCUAGAAGACCGCUACAGAAUAUACAGGGUUACACUAUGAGAGUCCAACUACCUAGUAAAGAAUGGUCAUAACUUCUGGAUUGUUACUGUUAAAGUUUGUUUUCUUUCUGCUACAUACUGCCUGGGAUGAAAUGUUAUGAAUUUCCCCCUGAAAUUUAAUAGUGCGAUUUGCAUUAAUAGCAAGAUAACAUCAGGAGAAAAUUAGUAAAAAUAAAUGACUUUUAUUCAAAUGAAAUAUUCUCAAUUCAGGAUUUUUAAAUACACCUGAUGGCUCGAUACAUGGUCACGGCAUUGUCACUGACGCGCCAGGCUCUGGUCGGCCACUGGGCCCCUGGACACAGCCU